CACAUGAUGUCGCCAUCAGCCCUUCCUACUUCACAGCUCACCUUCCACCAACUCCGCGCUGACGAUGCGAUUGGUCGAAGCGGCGCGGACGGCGGACGCUCAUUGGCCGCUCUCCCGUCAGUCACAGAGCAAUGCCACUCAGGAUAGAUUAGGCACCAUUUGCCAUAACUAAAUAGUUACAUUGUACAUCAAGUAGGGAGAAUUAUUUUAAUUGGUAGCCCACCGCGCUCGGCGGAGAGUUACACUUCGUCUUCGUUCAAACCGUUUUGAAUGCAACAAAGUGUGACGUUCGAACCUCCCGUCUCAUCAAACAGAUGUGGAUACACUGCUCGGUGCAGCAGAAGGAUGUGGUGUGAAGCGGACAGAUGAGUGGCUCUACAACGCCUGCAGGUAACGUCCAGGUUGCCAAAAAGGUGUCACAGGAUCCCCAGGGAGACAGUCCAGAUAAGGGUGCUGAGCAGUGCUGGUGAGCAUCCCAGCAGUCAGAGGAGAGCAGGCUGACCAAACUCUGUCUGCUGAUGAAGACUACACAAUAUCUCUGAAAGCACAGGAAAAACGAAAUGGACCUUGUGAUAAGAAUUUUUUUGUCAAACUGCUGUUCAUAAGUUCAAGAAAAUAACUUUUAAACUAAGCUGACAUCUGGUUUGGAUAAUGGACCUUUAUCAAAUAAAAAUGCCAAACAUUUUU
Long non-coding RNA from Amphiprion ocellaris (clown anemonefish), 687 nucleotides. The record is from Ensembl. Lineage: Eukaryota; Metazoa; Chordata; Actinopteri; Pomacentridae.